UAAUACAAAUCAACAAAGCCGAUAAAUU
Molecule: non-coding RNA, 28 nt
Filed under: Bombyx mori (domestic silkworm)
Lineage: Eukaryota; Metazoa; Arthropoda; Insecta; Lepidoptera; Bombycidae
Source: RNAcentral